AGAGUUCAAAAUAAUCAACCACAGUAUUUAAAUGUAAAUAAAUUAUUUGAAAGAUCUAAAGUUAGUUUUUGGCAUCAGAGAAUAGUUGAAAGGCGCAAUUUUUUUUUGUUUUCGUUUGCGAAGUAGUGAAUUAGAGAAUAGAAAAUUAUUGUGUGUGUUAUGUUACAGUCAACUGCAAAUUUGCUAGGUAGCACAUCUUCUGUUUGGAACAGCCAGUAUCUC
This is a non-coding RNA of Parasteatoda tepidariorum (common house spider), 222 nucleotides long. Lineage: Eukaryota; Metazoa; Arthropoda; Arachnida; Araneae; Theridiidae. The record is from RefSeq and is a predicted model, not a curated record.